RNAcentral lists this ribosomal RNA (228 nucleotides) under uncultured bacterium. Its description in RNAcentral is "partial 16S ribosomal RNA". It matches the Rfam family "Bacterial small subunit ribosomal RNA", at positions 103 to 334 of the family's 1533-position model. The record is from RNAcentral.
CGGGUGAGUAAUAUAUCGGAACGUGCCCAGUAAUGGGGGAUAGCCCGGCGAAAGCCGGAUUAAUACCGCAUACGACCUACGGGUGAAAGCAGGGGAUCGCAAGACCUUGCGUUAUUGGAGCGGCCGAUAUCAGAUUAGCUUGUUGGUGGGGUAAAAGCCCACCAAGGCGACGAUCUGUAGCUGAUCUGAGAGGACGACCAGCCACACUGGGACUGAGACACGGCCCAG